AUACGAGGUCCAGAGUCACCUUUUUGGAUAUAAUUACUAAUUCGGUGCUUGGAUAACUCGAAAAUAAAAUUGGUCGUAUUAUGCAAGUAGGGCUUGCUUCUGCGCUCCCCUCCUUCACCUCAUUCCCAUACAUUC
RNAcentral lists this small nucleolar RNA (135 nucleotides) under Caenorhabditis briggsae. RNAcentral describes it as "Cb192 H/ACA snoRNA". It matches the Rfam family "C. elegans snoRNA ceN100". The record is from RNAcentral. Lineage: Eukaryota; Metazoa; Nematoda; Chromadorea; Rhabditida; Rhabditidae.